This 253-nucleotide ribosomal RNA is filed under the name uncultured bacterium. RNAcentral's name for it is "partial 16S ribosomal RNA". It matches the Rfam family "Bacterial small subunit ribosomal RNA", at positions 524 to 776 of the family's 1533-position model. The record is from RNAcentral.
UACGUAGGGUGCGAGCGUUGUCCGGAAUCACUGGGCGUAAAGGGCGCGUAGGCGGCCUGAUAAGUAGGGGGUGAAAUCCUGCGGCUUAACCGCAGGGCUGCCUUCUAAACUGUCAGGCUGGAGCACAGUAGAGGCAGGUGGAAUUCCCGGUGUAGCGGUGGAAUGCGUAGAGAUCGGGAAGAACAUCAGUGGCGAAGGCGGCCUGCUGGGCUGUUGCUGACGCUGAGGCGCGACAGCGUGGGGAGCAAACAGG